GCGCGAAUGGCUCAGAGGUGGAGCGUCGCCUUGCCAAGGCGAAGGUCGCGGGUUCGAAUCCCGUUUCGCGCU
This 72-nucleotide transfer RNA is filed under the name Lachnospiraceae bacterium. RNAcentral's name for it is "tRNA-Gly". It matches the Rfam family "tRNA". From Rfam's summary of the family: Transfer RNA (tRNA) molecules are approximately 80 nucleotides in length. The record is from RNAcentral. RNAcentral also lists the same sequence under 2 other names. Lineage: Bacteria; Bacillati; Bacillota; Clostridia; Lachnospirales; Lachnospiraceae.